This 373-nucleotide ribosomal RNA is filed under the name uncultured organism. RNAcentral's name for it is "partial 16S ribosomal RNA". It matches the Rfam family "Bacterial small subunit ribosomal RNA", at positions 527 to 896 of the family's 1533-position model. The record is from RNAcentral.
GUAGGUGGCAAGCGUUGUCCGGAAUUAUUGGGCGUAAAGCGCGCGCAGGCGGUUCUUUAAGUCUGAUGUGAAAGCCCACGGCUCAACCGUGAAGGGUCAUUGGAAACUGGAGAACUUGAGUACAGAAGAGGAAAGCGGAAUUCCACGUGUAGCGGUGAAAUGCGUAGAGAUGUGGAGGAACACCAGUGGCGAAGGCGGCUUUCUGGUCUGUAACUGACGCUGAGGCGCGAAAGCGUGGGGAGCAAACAGGGAUUAGAUACCCUGGUAGUCCACGCCGUAAACGAUGAGUGCUAAGUGUUAGGGGGUUUCCGCCCCCUUAGUGCUGCAGCUAACGCACUAAGCACUCCGCCUGGGGAGUACGGCCGCAAGGCUG